CAGCAGCCGCGGUAAUACGAGGGGAGCUAGCGUUGUUCGGAAUUACUGGGCGUAAAGCGCGCGUAGGCGGCUUUUUAAGUCAGAGGUGAAAGCCCGGGGCUCAACCCCGGAAUUGCCUUUGAAACUGGAAAGCUAGAAUCUUGGAGAGGUCAGUGGAAUUCCGAGUGUAGAGGUGAAAUUCGUAGAUAUUCGGAAGAACACCAGUGGCGAAGGCGACUGACUGGACAAGUAUUGACGCUGAGGUGCGAAAGCGUGGGGAGCAAACAGGAUUAGAUACCCCCGUAGUCCCUGUCUCUUAUAC
RNAcentral lists this ribosomal RNA (301 nucleotides) under uncultured bacterium. Its description in RNAcentral is "partial 16S ribosomal RNA". It matches the Rfam family "Bacterial small subunit ribosomal RNA", at positions 509 to 807 of the family's 1533-position model. The record is from RNAcentral.